AUUUAAAUAGCUUAUAAAAUAGAGUGUAAUAUUGAAGCUAUUAAGGAAAUAUUAAAAUAUUUUUAAAUA
This 69-nucleotide transfer RNA is filed under the name Pida apicalis. RNAcentral describes it as "tRNA-Phe". The record is from RNAcentral. Lineage: Eukaryota; Metazoa; Arthropoda; Insecta; Lepidoptera; Erebidae.